GAGCCUACGGGACGCAGCAGUGGGGAAUAUUGCGCAAUGGGGGAAACCCUGACGCAGCAACGCCGCGUGCGGGAUGAAGGCUUUCGGGUUGUAAACCGCUUUCAGCAGGGAAGAUAAUGACGGUACCUGCAGAAGAAGCCCCGGCUAACUACGUGCCAGCAGCCGCGGUAAUACGUAGGGGGCAAGCGUUAUCCGGAUUUAUUGGGUUUAAAGGGUGCGCAGGCGGCACGGCAAGCCGGCGGUCAAAUCGCGGGGCUCAACCCCGCCCAGCCGUCGGAACUGCCGGGCUAGAGUGGGCGAGAAGG
This 305-nucleotide ribosomal RNA is filed under the name uncultured bacterium. RNAcentral's name for it is "bacterial SSU rRNA". It matches the Rfam family "Bacterial small subunit ribosomal RNA", at positions 334 to 658 of the family's 1533-position model. The record is from RNAcentral.